AUGUCGUCUCCGUCGGCUGAGCGGCAAGCCGGGGUUGGGCCUGCACACCGUCUAUCAGCACCCUCCCGCGUCUCCAUUCACGGAUCUGCAGUAGGCGACAUCCUUUGGGAAAUUGAGGAUGUCCUCGUGCAUUUUCUAAAUACAAUUGGGGCAUAUCUGAGGAAUGAAGGGAGGAAUAAACUCGUGGGAGAGUUCGGUGCAGAGGAAGAAGAACAAGAUAUUAUUUAUUUCUUGUGUACAGUCAAGCUUGUGCAUUGUCCCACUUUCUGGGGCCAGGCAACCUUGAAUCCAACGUCCACCUGCAGGCUACAUCUCAGGGGAAAUUGCAAAGCAUAUUAUGAAUUGUUACAAGAAACUAUUUCUGCUGUUUUGGUGCAAGGAUGUUGCUUUUUAGUAUGCUUCCCGUAUCUUGGUAUCUUGGAAUAA
Molecule: ribosomal RNA, 426 nt
Filed under: Triticum aestivum (bread wheat)
Lineage: Eukaryota; Viridiplantae; Streptophyta; Magnoliopsida; Poales; Poaceae
Description: partial small subunit ribosomal RNA
Source: RNAcentral